This 460-nucleotide ribosomal RNA is filed under the name uncultured bacterium. RNAcentral's name for it is "partial 16S ribosomal RNA". It matches the Rfam family "Bacterial small subunit ribosomal RNA", at positions 338 to 795 of the family's 1533-position model. The record is from RNAcentral.
CCUACGGGAGGCUGCAGUGAGGAAUAUUGGUCAAUGGGCGUAAGCCUGAACCAGCCAAGUCGCGUGAGGGAUGAAGGUUCUAUGGAUUGUAAACCUCUUUUAUAAGGGAAUAAAGUGCGGGACGUGUCCCGUUUUGUAUGUACCUUAUGAAUAAGGAUCGGCUAACUCCGUGCCAGCAGCCGCGGUAAUACGGAGGAUCCGAGCGUUAUCCGGAUUUAUUGGGUUUAAAGGGUGCGUAGGUGGCUUUUUAAGUCAGCGGUGAAAGUCUGUGGCUCAACCAUAGAAUUGCCGUUGAAACUGGGAGGCUUGAGUAUGUUUGAGGCAGGCGGAAUGCGUGGUGUAGCGGUGAAAUGCUUAGAUAUCACGAAGAACCCCGAUUGCGAAGGCAGCUUGCCAAGCCAUGACUGACGCUGAUGCACGAAAGCGUGGCGAUCAAACAGGAUUAGAUACCCGUGUAGUC